Molecule: ribosomal RNA, 447 nt
Filed under: uncultured bacterium
Lineage: Bacteria
Description: bacterial SSU rRNA
Rfam family: Bacterial small subunit ribosomal RNA
Source: RNAcentral
UGGUAAUGGCGACCGGCGCACGGGUGAUACACGUAUGUAACCUACCUCAAACAGGGGUGAUAACCCGGAGAAAUUCGGACUAAUACCGCAUAAAACAGGAUACCGCAUGGUAAUAUUGUUAAAGAUUUAUUGGUUUGAGAUGGGCAUGCGAUUCAUUAGCUAGUUGGUAAGGUAACGGCUUACCAAGGGCUACGAUGAAUAGGGGUUCUGAAAAGAAGGUCCCCCACACUGGUACUGAGACACGGACCAGACUCCUACGGGAGGCAGCAGUGAGGAAUAUUCGGUCAAUGGGCGCGAGCCUAAACCAGCCAUGCCGAGUGCAGGAAUACAGGCCUAUGGGUUUUAAACUGCUUUUGUACGGAGGGUAAAACUGUUGGCACCGUAAUGCCAAUUUUGAAAGUAUUGUUACGAAAUUAGGAUCGGAUAAACUCCGUGCCAACAAGACCG